GUCAGGCACGAACGAGACCCUUGCAUCUAGUUGCCAGCAGAGUCCCUUCGGGAUGCUGGGUACCCUAGAUGGACCGCCACUGCUAAAGUGGAGGAAGGAGAGGGCGACGGUAGGUCAGUAUGCCCCGAAUCUCCCGGGCCUACACGCGGCCUACAAUGGACAGGACAAUGGGCUCCGAUCCCGAAAGGGAAAGGCAAUCCUUUAAACCUGUUCUUAGUUCGGAUUGAGGGCUGUAACUCGCCCUCAUGAAGCUGGAAUCUCUAGUAAUCACGUGUCAUUAUCGCGCGGUGAAUACGUCCCUGCUCCUU
This 308-nucleotide ribosomal RNA is filed under the name uncultured Thermoplasmata archaeon. RNAcentral's name for it is "bacterial SSU rRNA". It matches the Rfam family "Archaeal small subunit ribosomal RNA", at positions 1033 to 1338 of the family's 1478-position model. Lineage: Archaea; Methanobacteriati; Thermoplasmatota; Thermoplasmata. The record is from RNAcentral.